This 3256-nucleotide long non-coding RNA is filed under the name Sus scrofa (pig). RNAcentral describes it as "lncRNA (ENSSSCG00060019225.1)". The record is from RNAcentral. Lineage: Eukaryota; Metazoa; Chordata; Mammalia; Artiodactyla; Suidae.
UUUGGUGGUCUCAGCUGAGUUUCCAGCAAGUUUUAGACUGCAUUACAAAUUCAUCAUGCACAAUUAUGUACAAUUUGGCACAGUUUCCAAUCCCUGCUUAGGAGAAACUCUCUGUUUCAGGCUAAGUGGGAGAAUAAAAUACUUCUUGGGCCUAGAGGAGCACUUCUCUUAGGUCAAGACUGUGGUACCUAUAGAAAGAGAUGGGAUAGAAGUAUUGUCAAUUACAAAGACUCUAGUAAUAGAUAUUGGAUAUCAACUGUGCUUACUGUUUGAAAUUCCUCACUCUUAGAGUCUUCAUUCAAACAAAGGAUGCUGGCAGUUCCAACACUAAUGGGCACGUUAGUUAUCUCAGCUUUAACUGACACAAGUGAGUUAUGACCUAUGAAUAUUUUCUACUCUUCUAACAUAGAAGGAUGCAAAAUCAGUUUAGAAGGUAGUCAAGGAAAAAAAUUCACAGACUUGAUUAGGUGUCUAAUAAGUUGGAACAAAUAUAUUAUGAAUCUCUAGAAAUCUCAAAUAUGUCUAGCAUUGCAGUAAUGCACAGUAAUUGUUUGAUUGAACAUAGGCCAACUCAGGAAAUGAAAAUUCUAGCAAUUAACUUUUUCCAUAGUCCAUUCCUCUCACAUUCCAUAUAGUCAACUUGGAUUUGUUUUUAAUUAUUUGAAGAGAAGUUUGCUGAAGAGCAAAAUGUUCCUCGCUUUGUUCUAGUUCUUAAGGAGUUGGCAUUUUACUAGCAAGUUCAGCAUAUAAGACUAAAUACUUUGAUUCCUGCACAAAUAAUCAUAAGCCAUAAUCAGAAACUGGACAGUAAGGAUCUCUCCAGUAUCAUCCAUUAGUUAGUUCUGGGUGGCAAGAUAAAUCCAGCCUGGGAAUUGUGCUAUUGAUAAAUUUAUAUUUCUUCCUCUGAAUUAUUCCUGCAUCCAUGGUUACAUUUACAAAAAUACUGAGACUAGAGUUUGUUGGUAGUUGGAGUAACCUAAAAUAGCCCCUGGUUAUUGCACUAUCACUAUCACUCAUUAAAACUUAAUGAAGACCAACAAACUGUUGAUUAGUAUGAGCAAAGAAAGCCAACCAAGUAGCCAAAGGACAAUAACUCAAAUAAGCAUAAUGUGGACAUUUCAACUCUUAUUCCAAGAAACUCUGGCUUGGAUAUGAAACAGAUUGUCUUUCUAAUUAAAAACAAAAGGACACAAGGUAGCCAGGGGUGCAUAGGUUGUUAAGAGAACUUUCUCGCUUCAGCCUCAUACCUGAAAGUGAUAUAGGAGGUAAAACAACUGGUGGUGAGAAUAUCCCACCAAGAACAUCCCAAGGCAGUUUAUUGAGUGGGAGCUCCAGCCAUCUUCCCUAGGAAAGUCAGCACCCUUCUUGUGCAGAUGAAGUGUUAACUCCCACCAGCUCACCCCUCGGGCAUCCUGCCACAAAUUGUUGGCGGUAGCUAAUGUCAUUCUUCUGAGGUCUGUCCUAAAUAAACAGUAAUAAACUCAGCUGUGUAGGCAAUUCAAUUUCUUAUUUGCUUGUUAGAAACCGACCAACAUACACAGGAAUUAAUUAAUUCUUUGGGAGACAGCAUAAAAAGCACCAAGGCUUAGAAAUCAGACUAACAUUUAGUUUUAUUUGCCUCUUCCAAGCUGUGUACCUUAAAUUAAAUCACUUAAGUUUCUGUGGUUUGGUAUAUUCAUGCAUAAAAUAGGACUGGAUCAUUCUUCCUGUUUUUAGUAAGGAAUGUUUUAUGAACCUCUUCCCAUAGAUUGGCACACAGCUGUAAUUACUUCCGAUGAUCUUUAAAAUAUUGCUGUGGUACUUGUGGUAAAUCUUUGUUGCAGAUAAGGCAAUGCCUAUCAAAGUACUGAUUGAUGUUUGCAGAAGGAGAAAAUCAGAGCUGACAAUUCCUCCUUUCUAAAGUGUUACAGCUCCAAGUAAUACCUAGCUGUACUGACUCAAGAGCAAAUGAGAAGGGGAAAUUAAAAAAGGAGGAGGUGAAGAAAUGUAAAAGGCAAGAUAGAGUGCAGUGGUACCCCUCGUAAACUAUAGAUAGAGAUGUAACAGAAUUUUUAUAACCACUGGAAAUAGAAAAGGGACCAUAGCUGCCAGCAACAUGGUAGUCCAGACAUCCUAGGUAGAGAACACCUGAAGAUACUGACUAAAAUAUUAAAUUCACAUUGCUAAAGCAUAUAUGAGCUAUAAAUUAAAAGAAAUUCUGAACGGUCAGAAAUGAAGGAAAAGAGUGAAUGCAGAGGAAAGCAUGGGCUGGAGACAUCUGCCAAGUCCUGAUAGUGAUGUAGUCAUAUGAAGAAGAGACAAAACCUGAGGGCCAGAGAAGAGCAAAAGGUAGAGAUACCUUUACAAAUGUCGGAACCCCCCUCCCACUCAGAGGGAAGUACCCUCCAUUAGAAAACCACUUGGGAAAGAGAUACCUUAUUUCUCCUUGUCUUUACCCUGACUCUGAAUAGACUGGAGAGAAGGAAUGGGGAGGACCUCAGAUGUCUGCUCACAAAACAAGUGUGGGCCCUGACAAAAACUCAGGUGACAAUUUAAGUUAAGGUGGAUCCAUGCUAAUAAUGCCUCAGAGUAGAAGAAAGCCAAAAAUCCUCUCCCCAACAAUAAGUUUUAGUCUCAGACCUUAAAGAAUUCCCAGAGAGGAAACUCCAAGAACUUUGAGUUCAUAAUCAAAGGUCCUUAAACCCAUAUAUGACUCUAUGAAGUAUAAUAAACAAAAACAGUAUUUUUUUUUGGACCACACCCACGGUAUAUGGAAGUUCCUAGGCUAAGGGUUGAAUCAGAGUGACAGCUGCCAGCCUGUACCACAGCCACAGCAACACAAGAUCCGAACUGUGUCUGUGACCAAUACCACAGCUCAUGGCAACAGCGGAUCCUUAACUCACUGAGCAGGGCUACCAGAGAUGGAACCUACAUCCUCAUGGAUUCUAGUGGGGUUUGUUACCUCUGAGCCUCCACAGGAACUCCCAGUAAAUUACUUUAACAGAACUUCAAAACAUACAGAUAUUGAAAUGAUCAGAUAUAGAAUAACAUGCCCAUAUUCUAUGACUCAAGAAUAGUGGUUAACAAAUCUGACUAGGAACCAUGAGGUUGCGGGUUCGAUCCCUGGCCUUGCUCAGUGGGUUAACAAUCCGGUGUGGCCGUGAGCUGUGGUGUAGGUUGCAGACGCAGCUCAGAUCCCGCGUUGCUGUGGCUCUGGCAUAGGCUGGUAGCUACAGCUCCUAUUCGACCCCUAGCCUGGGAACCUCCAUAUGCUGCA